GACGAACGCUGGCGGCGUGCUUAAUACAUGCAAGUCGAACGGAAAGGCCCUGCUUUUGUGGGGUGCUCGAGUGGCGAACGGGUGAGUAACACGUGAGUAACCUGCCCUUGACUUUGGGAUAACUUCAGGAAACUGGGGCUAAUACCGGAUAGGAUCUCCUGCUGCAUGGUGGGCGUUGGAAAGUUUCGGCGGUUGGGGAUGGACUCGCGGCUUAUCAGCUAGUUGGUGGGUUAGUGGCUUACCAAGGCUGUGACGGAUAGCCUGCCUGAGAGGGGGAACGGCCACAUUGGGACUAAGAUACGCCCCAGACUCCUACGGGCGGCAGCAGUCGGGAAUGUUGCACAAUGAGCGGAAGCCUGAUGGAGCAACGCCGCGUGCGUGAAGACGGACUUCGGGUUGUAAACCACUUUCGCCUGUGACGAAGAGUGAGUGACGGUAAUGGAUAAAGAAGCACCGGCUAACUACGUG
This 468-nucleotide ribosomal RNA is filed under the name uncultured bacterium. RNAcentral describes it as "partial 16S ribosomal RNA". It matches the Rfam family "Bacterial small subunit ribosomal RNA", at positions 28 to 507 of the family's 1533-position model. The record is from RNAcentral.